Non-coding RNA from Phasianus colchicus (ring-necked pheasant), 3592 nucleotides. The record is from RefSeq and is a predicted model, not a curated record. Lineage: Eukaryota; Metazoa; Chordata; Aves; Galliformes; Phasianidae.
GCAAACUUUCCAGCUUAUCAAAAAGCAACAUGAGUAAUCCCAUCCUGUCGAACUUUGUGGUGGUGGUGGUGUAAGUUGUAUGUUCUGAUAAUUCCCUGGUUACAUGUCAUUGCAUCUUGUCUAAUUUCCUUACCUGAGGCUGCAUCUUCUCAUGUUCACCUGACACAACCAGAGGAGAUCAUGCAGCUGAUAUAACAAGGGGCCCAACAUUUGCAGUGCUGAACAACAUCAUUAAUGCUCAUGAAAUGCUUUCUUUUUCAUGAGAAAACCAGAAAAAAAAAAAACACAUUAUUUUUCUCAUUAACUUUUAUCAAAUCGGUGAUUUAUCCACCCUGUUUGUUGCAGAGUUAAAUAUCAGUGGUUUCAAUAGGUGUCAGUGGGUGAACAAUCUCUGCUUUGAUGCUGCAAGGUCAGUAUGUCCAUCCCUCUUAUCUCAGCUGAGCAGCUGGGCCACAAAUCAGGACUGAAGCCAGGUGAGGGGACCUGUGACAGAGCUGUGAGGGAGGACGGAGAGCUGGCAGUGCUCAGGCCCUGGCAACAGAGAGCUAUGGUAGACAUCAGGUCCCUGGUGCGGCGUCACUGGGUAGGAAGGGACAGUGCCAGCACUCAUGAAGAACAUCCCUCCCCACAGUGCAGGCAGCACUCUGGUUUGGCAUGGAGCACCUGGGAGGUAAGUGUGGGGCUUGGGAUGGCAGCAUGCAGUUUGGAUGGGAAGCUGGGGGCUUCUCACUGCCUUUGCUCUCUGAGACAGCUAUGUGCUCAUACCAUGGCUCACUCUGCCUUAAGAACUGUGUUCUUCCUCAGUUUGGGAAAGGUGCGUAAGGGGGGCUGGACUGCUGAGAUCUGUUUGCACUCCAGGGAUAGCGUGAGCAGUGGCUGUUGGUUCACACACUGUCCUCGUGGAUUCCUUUUGGGCACGUUUGCACUGAAACUUUGAAUAAUUCUUCCCUAACGCUGCUAGGCUCGUACCUUGAGCCCAGCUUAUAAUUAUUUUUCUUCAAGAGGACUGCUGGAAAAUGAGGUGAUAUUAACUUGGGACUCAACCAGGGUUUCCUGCCAGAUUAAAUGGAUGCUGGAAGCGGUUCUGAAUCAAAGGUUGCUUUGACUUUCUGUGGUUGUGUGAGGCCUUCUGCAUUUCUUUUUGGGGAACAGGCUCAGGAGGCUCUAUAGCUCAUAUGAGUAUUUGCUGUAGCCAGUCCCUGACUCCUUUCUCUCCUUACAUUUCCUGUUUUGCAGCUGCUGGCUAUGCUGGCAGCCAGCCUGCUGCUGCUCUGUAUCCUGCUGUGCUACCAGGCCUUUCAUUUCCACGUGGCACAGGCCUACGCACGCCUUGGGUACCCCCAUGCCCAGCACAUUGUGGGGCAGAGGUAUCUGCAAGGUAAACUUCACUGUUGGAUGUUGGAGGACAUCCGUGCAUGUGAAUCUCAAAUGUGGCUCUGCAUGCUGGUUUGGCCACUGUGUUUUACGUCAUCACUGCGACUUCACUGCCUUGUCUUUAUCUCAGGUGCUGGAGUGGAAAAAAAUGAGAAGCUGGCCAUGCACUGGUUCAGGCAGGCAGCAGGACAGGGCCACCCACAGUCCUCCUUCAGCCUGGCACUGGGAGCUCUCAGCAACAUGACGGCGGCAAUGGAGGAAAGGUAACACAGCUGCUCCUGCCCCUUCCCGCUCCAGAUUCAGAUUUGGUUCCUCCUGGGGGAAAGUGCUGUACUGUAGGCAUCCCGUGGAUGUGGCUGCAUAGGCGUUUUUGAGGUUCCACUGUUGUGUUGUCAGCUCUGCUUGUGUUGGCCACCAGUGCCUUGUUAGCCUCAGAGAGGCUGGGACACUCUCUCCAGCAUUCCUGUGCCCUGCAGUGUGCCCAAAUGGAGGGACAGCCAGAGCCUGCUGUCUGCACAGUCACUGAGAUGGCUAAUCCAGGGGCCACUCCUAGUUGAAGCAAAAGUGACCAACGAGUUUCCAUCACAGUGCUACUCAGUCUUCUUAAAAUUGUUUUGCUGGAGUUUUUUAACUCCAAGCUCCAAAAUACAAAAGCAAAAGCCUGUGAGCUGAAGCCAUCAUGUUUUGUUUUGAUCCCGUGUUGCAUAUUGAUCAGAUAGACUCACGUAUUUGGUUGUACAAUAACUAUAUAUUUCAAGAGUUUCAGAUCAUACGGCUUCAGUUCAGUCAGGUCAGGAAAAUCACCAAUAAUCAGACAUACAUGCUCAGAUCACAGUGAAAAGCAAAGGAAAACCAGAUAAUUUUCUGAAUAUUAGACAGCUGAACACCACAGAAUCUUUCAGAUCUAGUAGUGGUUGUCCUCUAUUAGAAGCCUGGGUAAGUAAAAGUCAGAUAGGAACAACCAAAACUCCUAGUUUUUCUUGAUGAAGAUUUCAUGUCCUUCAGAGAAGUGGAAAAACUCCUUGGUGUGGCUGCAGCCCAUGGACUCCGAGAAGCUCAGGAACUUUUGGAGAACAUUCUCAAGAGCAGAAAGCUGCCCUGAAUGACUGCACCAGCCUUGUCUUCUUCUGCAACUUUAUUGAAAACUAAUUACAAGCUGGAGAUCACAUCUCAUACCAAUUCAUCCCCUGAUAUUAAGUUAGAUCCAGAUACUGACCUGGGCCUGAUGCUGUGGUUGUGCUGUAUCUAUUUCAUGCUCUGCUUAUUUUUUGCAACAGAUGAUCGUGAUUAAAGCUUUGUUGUCAUUAAUCAGCAUGACGUGUGUGAGUGAUGUCACCUGUAAUAUAAAUAACAGUGGUUUAAUAGAAAGUAUUAUGGUUAAGAUAAAUAAAAUCUUCAUGUAACAGCUGCCAUUCCUUAAAAACUUCACCAUUACCAUACCAGUUUUUGGAAAAUAUAAUUAAUCUUAAUGGAAACUGCCUUCAUCCUCAAGGUGGCCUCAGUUUAAAACUACCGUGGGAAGACCUGCAUCUGACAGAAAAUGAAUUCACUCUGCAGAGCCAUACAACAUUUUGCUGGCAAUAGUGCUGCUGCUGGGGAUGCCCAGGUUGGUCUGCAGUCACUGCCUUACUGGUUCCCAUGGUCUCAUACAACCAGCUGGUGAUUUGUCAUCCAGUGCCUUCCAGUAUUUUGGUAAGAGCUGGGAAAUAAGGGCAAGCUUGAGUAUCAACAGAAGCUGCUGAUUGACUAAAGUGGGAGCAAGCUAUCGCAACUCAGUACUUUACCAGUUCUUCACCACAUCCACAGGCUUCCCAUGAAGCACAGAAACAGCAUUCACACUAUGAACCUUACACCACCUCCCUACAGGCACAGAUUUCUCCCACUCAAAUUGCUUUCCAGUUUGAUUUUCCCCUGAUUUUCUUUCAGUAUAACCACCCAAAGCACAGGUUUGUUUUGCUGCCAAUACCCAACUAACCACAGGGUCCUGAUCUCAUCCUUGUUUGAUGAAACUGGUUCUUUCUCUGUACCAGCAGCUCAUCUGUAGUUUUUGGCUGUAGGAAAUCAGCACUGAACAUCAGCUGCUUCUUUGGGAAUGUUCUGCCAGCCCCAGAACAGCUGAGCUAGUGGGGAAGGGCAAGGGGGAGGAGGUAAUGCUUCCUGGCUUCAGUGCUCUCUGCAUAGCUCGGGUAGAAAAGCCCAGAAAAAAAAAAAAAAAAAA